Molecule: long non-coding RNA, 7243 nt
Filed under: Capsicum annuum
Lineage: Eukaryota; Viridiplantae; Streptophyta; Magnoliopsida; Solanales; Solanaceae
Description: long non-coding RNA (CANN_LNC018860)
Source: RNAcentral
CCAAAUCUGAUACCCGAAACGCUACACGAUACUCAUGAUCCCAAAGGACCACAAGCUAACCCAUGACUAAUAUUUGUACCUGAACACUGUAUAAUAUACUGUAUAAAUGCAAAAAUAAAGGCUAUAAGGCCAUAAGGUUCAAAACUGAUAAAAUAAUCUCUAAAUGAUAUGGUAUCAAAACACCAAAAAGAAAAACUUGAAAUAAACUAUCUGAACAUGAUAGUCUGAAAAGCCUCUAACUGAUUGAACUGUCUAAAUAAAGAGUUGAUGGGACAUGUCCCCAACUAACUCCAACUACAGAAAUAAAUUAAUUAAUGAGAUAAUAAAGUAAUGGUCAUGUCCUUGAAGGAUGAGGACUCACUGCCAACUCUGACUGCUGAGACUGGAAUACUACUGAUACUUUGGAGCUCGUGCUUCUGAACCUAUGGUAUAAAACACCAUAGCGCAAAUGCAUCAGUACGUUUGAAUGUACUGGUAUGCAUGUGAGGUAGGCUUAAUGCAAAAGGGUUCAUAUGCAUGAACUAUACUAACUGACUGCAUAACAUGAACGUGAGAAUACAUGCAUGAAUACAUAAUAACUAUAACUGAGUUCGUGAUAACAUGAUUACUGAGUUUGAGUACUGAUAACAUGAGAUACCGAUAGUUAUAUAACUGAAAUAACUGAUGCUGAGCGACUGUAUCUAACAGUCCAGGUUCUGAUGAAACUAGCUGAGUUCCAUGUUGUUCUAAGUUGACUGUAUCUGACAGUCCUGAAUUGUAUAGAACUAUCUGAGUUCUAUUACUGAGACUGAAUGAUUGUAUCUGACAGUCUAGAUUUUGUAACUGAAACUAUGGGAAGUAGUCAUCUAACCGACAUGCCCCAAUUAAAAAUCAACUGAAACUGCGGAAAGUAGUCAUUAACCCACAUGCCCCAAUUAAAGCAAUGUAGCUGAGUUGGGGUCCAAUCUGUAACCCCAAUUAGAAGGGUGUCAAUACCUCGCCACUGAUAAGAACAAGCUGUGGGUAACCCUCAUCUGAUAGUGUCCCAAAAGAGAACGGUCGGAUCCUUACCUGACAGUGUUUAUCCACCUUAUCAACCCUCAUCUGACAGUGUUGAUGUCUCAACCUAUGCUGGAUACAUAGUUCUGGAACGCAAGAAUGACUUCUAAGAAUCACAUCCUCAUCUAACAGUGAGUGUUCCCAUCCUUGGGUUCACUCGGUGCUACUUCCUACUCCCCAUCUGAAUAGACACUGAACAUGGAUUACUAAACUGAACUAGACUGAAUUAACUGAGUUUCAUUGACUGACGGAAUACUACUGAGAUUACUGAAUUUCUAAGAUUACUGGGUUUACUGAGUUUUUCUGAGUCACAUGACUGACUGAAUUUCUAUGAACAUGGCUCGACUGUGAGUAUCUUGAAAACAUGACACUGACUCUAGGCACACAGCUAAUUUUCGGGUACAAGUACUCCCAGGACUCGAUAGCAUGAAACUGACAAAGCAUGACUUUCUUGAAUACAUGACCAACAUCAUAAUCCUUAAUACAAUAAGAUGGAGAUUUCAAGAAGUAGAAGUUCUAAAGCACCACAAGGCUACACAUGUAUCCAUAAUUCAUUGACUAAGACAUUUCAUCAAACAUUUGACAUGCAUAAACUUGUACAUGAUUGGGGAUUUCAUAUUAUCAUACUAGUAUGGCACUUUUCCUUCACAUAGGCAUUUAAUCAAACACAUGGGGAGAAUGCUUUGGUUAUACAACCAUCAACACAUCUAAUAAUCCUGGAUACAUUAAUCAACGUGUAAAUUUAAAGGUUUAUCAUGAUUAUUAUGCAAAUCACCACAUCCUAGGGUUAAUCAUUGGAAUAUGUAAUUUCAAACAUGAAUCAAAACCCCACAACAUCAUGAACAUAAAUUUCAAUUCAAUUUAAAUCAUGAACAUUCAUACAUACAAAAAUCUUGGAUUUUAAAAAGAGAUUCUUGAUUCAAAUCAUGUACAAGUUUAUGGGUGAAAGGGACCCAUGAAUAAACACAUAACAUACCUGGGUUAUAAGUUUCUUGAAGUUCUUGGACUUGAAGAACUUAAAUCUCUUAGUUUCUUAAAGAAGAUUUGGAUCUUGUUUCUUGGGAAUUAUCUUUGAGAGAAAACCUUAAUUUGAUGUUGUAGAUGGAUAAUGAACUUAUGAGCCUUGGUCUGAUAUAAUUAGGGGUUAAAACGGGUGGAAAAAGAUCCAAAUACCCUUUUAAAAAUGACUUAAAAAUAACGGAAUGAACUAUGCGACGGUUUGUCGCUAGGUCGAUGGUCCGUCGGUCCUAACCGUCGCACCUGAGCAGAAUAGGGGUUCACUGUCUAUGCUGCGAUGGCUUGGGCGACGGUCCGCCACUAGCUCGAUUGUCCGUUGGCCUGAGUCAUCGCCCUUAGGCAGAAGGUGGUCUCACUGCCUCCACUGCAAUGGCUUGGGCGACGGUCCAUCGCUAGCUCAACGGUCCGUCGGCCCUCAGCGUCGCACCUGGGCAGUUUUCACUGUUUUCUGUAAAAUGGCCAUAACUUUCUACCCCGAUACCAGUUUUUGACGAAUUUGAUAUCGUUGGAAUGCUAAUUCAAUUUUCCACAUGAAAAAAAGUGAAUCUUAAAAAUUCUACGUACAUAAAAGUGGAUUCAUCUUUCAAAGUAAGUUUCUAACAUACUUUGGAUGAUUUCAAGCUAGGUAGAAGUACGAGGUAUUACAAUAUCUCCCCCUUGAGAACACUCAUCCUCGAAUGAGACUGAGUGAGAGGGGAGAAGAUAAACUGACAUACAUACUGAACAUGAAUAACUGAAACAUGAUCUCAUGACUAACAUGACUGACAACUGAAUAUAUAUAUCAUACUGAACAUGCAUAUCUGAUGCAUGAGUAACUGAUUUAUGAAUGCAUGACUAAAUUACUGAUAAGAUGAGUUUCUCAUCAAACUGAACACGCAUAUCUGAUACAUGAUUAUAUGACUGAAUUGGUGCAUAAAUGCAUGACUGAAUAUGCAAUGGUAUUUAAUACCAAGUUUAUAAAGAAAUUCUGAACAUGAAAUGGAUACCAAGCUUGUAACUGAAAUCUGAACAUAAAACUGAAAAGCUUAAGGAGAACUGUUGCCUUGAGUUAGACCUGAGUUGGUAGAGAAGAGGUGAGGAUACUUGGUAUGCAUGUCUGCUUCUGCUUGCCAAGUAUCUCCCUCAACGGACUGAUUUCGCCAAAGAACUUUGACUAGAGAGGCUUCUUUGUUCCUCAGUCUAUGAAUCUGCUAGUCUAGAAUUUUGAUCGAAAUCUCUUCGUAAGAGAGGCUGUUCUAAAAAUUUAAGAUCUAAAUAGGGACUAUAACUGUUGGGUUACCUAUGCACUUCUUGAGCAAAGAGACAUGAAAGACUGGAUGAACUAAGGCUAGAUCUGAAGGCAAUUCGAGCUCAUAAGCUACCUUGCCAAAACAACUGAGAAUUUUGAAAGGACCAACAUAUCGGGGACUGAGCUUUCCCUUCUUGCCAAACCUCUUCACUCCCUUCCUGGGAGAGAUCUUUAAAUAGACAUAAUCACCAAUCUCAAACUCAAGAUCCUUUCUGCGCACAUCCGCAUAAGACUUCUGUCGGGUCUGAGCAGCCCGGAGUUUUUAUCUAAUCAACUGAACUUUUUCUAAGGUAUCAAAUACUAAGUCAGGCCCUAUAACUGAGGCCUAACUAACUUCGAAUAAACCAACUGGAGAUCUACAUCUCCUACCAUAAAGAGCUUUGAAUGGAACCAUCUUAAUACUAGAAUGAUAGUUGUUGUAUGCAAACUCAAUCAAAGGCAAGUGGUCAUCCCAACUACCCUUGAAAUCAAUUACACACACUCGCAGCAUAUCUUCUAAAGUUUGAAUGGUCCUUUCUACUUGACCAUCUAUCUGAGGAUGAAAGGCGGUACUGAGAUGAACUUGAUUACCAAGACCCUUUUGGAAUGUUUUCCAAAAAUGAGAGGUGAAUUGGGUACCUCUGUCUGAUAUAAUAGAUAACGGAACACCGUGCAAUCUGACCAACUCUCUGAUGUAAAGUUUGAUGUAAUCCUUGGCUGAAUAAGAGGUAUGGACUGGAAGGAAAUGAGCUGAUUUGGUCAUCCUAUAUACAAUGACCCAAACUAAAUCAUGUUGGCGACGAGUACGAGGCAACCCGUCACAAAAUCCAUGUUCACUUCUUCCCACUUCCAAGUAGGAAUACAGAACUCCUGUAUGGACCCGUUACGCUUCUGAUGCUCUAUCUUAACUUGCUGACAUGUAGAGCACUUACCCACAAACUCUGCAAUAUCUCUUUUCAUCCCACUCCACCAAUAGAUCUCCCACAAGUCGCGAUACAUCUUUAUGGACCCUGGAUGAAUAGAGUAGCACGCACCAUGCGCUUCUACAACAAUUCGUUGUCUUAAGUCAUCUACACCUGGAACACACAAACGACCCUGACAACGCAAAAUACAAUCUCCCCCUUGGGAGAAAACCUCUACUUUUUUAUCCUUGACUAACUCCUUUAACUUGACAAGGCUGGGAUCUCUAUCUUGCUUUUCUUUCACCUCAAAAACUAGAGAUGAUUUUGAGCUACUCUGAACCCAUAUAUCACCCUUUUCUGUAUCGACUAAGCGAACGCCUAGUCUGGCAAACUGAUGCACUUCUUGAGCUAACUUUUUACUACUAUCCUCAACAUGAACAACACUACUCAUAGACAGUCUAUAGACAGUCUACUGAGAGCAUCGGCCACCACAUUGGCCUUGCCCGAAUGAUUAAGGACACUCGUUUCAUAAUCUUUCAAGAGCUCUAACCACCUUCUCUCACAAAGAUCUUUUUAAGAUCUUUCUGAGAAAAGACAUACUGAAGGCUCUUAUGAUCUAUGAACAUAUCUACAUGAACACCGUACAAAUAAUGCCUCCAAAUCUUCAAGGCAAAUACUACGGCUGCUAACUCAAGAUCAUGAGUAGGAUAAUUCUUCUCAUGAGGUUUAAGCUGUCUAGAGGCGUAGGGUAUGACCUUAUCAUGCUACAUGAGGACAUAACCCAAACCUACUUUGGAUGCAUCACAAUACACUACGAACCCAUCUGAACCCUCUAGAAGAGCUAGGACUAGAACUGAGGUGAGUCGAGUCUUCAACUCCUGAAAACUCUUCUCGCAAGGAUCUGACCACUGAAACUUGACUUUUUUCUGAGUCAAUUUAGACAUAGGGGAUGCAAUAGAAGAAAAUCCCUCAACAAACCGUCUGUAAUAGCUAGUCAAACCUAAGAAACUCAUGACAUCUGAUGAAGAGACAAGUCCGGGCCAGUUUCUUACUACUUCGGUCUUUUGAGGAUCAACUCUAAUGUCAUCACCAGAAAUGAUAUAACCAAGGAAUGUUACUGACCUUAGCCAAAAUUCUCACUUACUAAAUUUGGCGAACAACUAAUGAUCUCUGAAAGUAUGAAGCACGAUUCUGAGAUGGUCUGCACGAUCAUGCUCACUGCGAGAAUAGACAAGAAUGUCAUCUAUGAAGACGGUGGCGAACAUGUCCAAGUACUGCUUGAACACACGAUUAAUCAAGUCCAUAAAAUCUGCUGGGGCAUUGGUAAGACCAAAGGACAUGACCAGAAACUCGAAGUGACCAUACCGAGUACGAAAAGCUAUUUUCAGAAUGUCACAUUCUCUGACUCUGAGCUGAUGAUAGCCUGAUUUGAGGUCUAUCUUAGAAAAAUAGCUAGCACCCUGAAGUUGAUUGAAAGAGUCAUCGAUUCUGGGAAGAGAAUGCGUGUUCUUGACCGUGACUUUAUUGAGAUGACGGUAAUCAAUGCACAUUCUAAGAGAACUGUCUUUCUUGCGCACGAAUAAGACUAGUGCACCCCAUGGGGACACACUGGGUCUAAUAAAGCUAUUAUCUAAGAGAUCCUUGAACUGCUCCUUCAAUUCUCUGAGUUUUAUUGGUGCCAUUCUGUAUGGCAGAAUAGAUAUAGGCUGAGUAUCUAGAAGAAGAUCAAUGCCGAAGUCUAUUUCCCUUUCGGGAGCAAUUCCUGUAAGAUCUUCGAGGAAGAUAUCUGAAUAUUCAUUUACGACUGAGGCUGAUUUGAGAUUGGGAGUUUCAAAACUAAUGUCCUUAACUCGAACAAGAUGAUAAACACAUUCUUUUAGAUAUCAUUUUUCAUGCCCGAAAGGAGGAAAUAAGCUGACCUCUUAAAGCUGAAGUACUACCCCUCCACUCUAGGAUAGGUUCAUUCAGAAACUGAAACUGGACUAUUCUGUUUCUGCAGUCGACUGUGGCAUAGCAGGAAAGCCAAUCCACGUCGAGAAUGACAUCAAAAUCAGUCAUCUCUAACUCGACUAAAUCUGCUGAGAUGAUUUUCUGAAAUAUCAUGACCAGGCAGUUCCUAAAUACCCACCGGGCUAUGAUGGUUUUUUCCACUGGGGUAGACACUGAGAAGGGAUCAACUGGAAUUUUGGGACUGGCUCUGAAAUCAAUUGCUAUAUAGGGAGUAACAAAAGACAAAGAAACUCCUGAAUCUAGCAAAGCAUAAACAUGCACAUGAAAGAUCUAUUACGUACCAGUAACCACAUCAAAAGAAUUUUCCUAAUCUUGACAGGACUGAAGAGCAUAAAAUCGAUUUGGGCGUUGCCCACUAGUAGCAUUGGAAGUGGCAUCCUGCUGGUUUGGGCGACCGAACUGAGCUGGCGAACGGUUCUGCUGACCCUGAUAACCUGACUGGGGACAAUCUCUGACUCUGUGUCCUGGCUUUCCACAUUCGAAAUAGACAUUACUACCAACUCUGCAAACACUCUUGUGGUUCUUAGCAUAAGUCUGACAAGGGGAAUUAGUUUGGGCAUUGCUGACACUGCCCCGAGACUUAGAGCUUGGAGCCCUAUCUCUAUUACCAUCCCUGAACUUAGGAGCUGGAGAACUGGCUGAAGAACAAAAUUGAGAAAGGUUUUCUCCUUCUGAUUUGGGCUGAGCAAAGUUGAAAUGCCCUAUCCUUACUCUUUUAUUCUGCUUCUCCCUCAUCUUAAUCUUUUGCUUCUCUAUCUGCAGAGCAUGAGUCAUAAGCCUGGCUAAAGUCAUGUCACUAUUCAACAUCGCAGACUUACACUCGUUGACCACACUAUCGUUCACCCCAAAGACAAACUUACUUAUCUUGGACCUACUGUCUGAAACCACAUGAGGGGCAUAUCUAGCUAAUUGAGUAAACUUAAGAGAAUACUCUCUCACCGUUAUGUUGCUCUGCAUGAGGUUGAUGAAUUCUAACACCUUAGCCUCUCUCAGCUCUUAGGGAAAGGAU